GGCUUGAUGAAUAUAAUUUUAGGUCGAUCUGCCCAAUGAUUAUUUAAUUGAAUGGCUGCAGUAUAAUUAACUGUACAAAGGUAGCAUAAUAAAUUGUUUUUUAAUUGAAAACUGGAAUGAAAGAAUUAAUGAAAUAUAUACUGUCUCGUAUAUAUAUAUUAUGAAUUUAAAAUUUUAGUAAAAAUGCUAAGAUAUUUUUAUGGGACGAUAAGACCCUAUAGAAUUUUAUAUUAAUAUAAAAUUAAUACUAAUUUUAUUUAAUAUUUGAUUGGGAGGAUUAAUAAAUUUAUAAAACUUUAUUUAAAAUUUUAACUUUAAUUUAAGAAUAAUUUUAAAGAUCUUAUAAUAUAAAUUAAAAGAAAAAAUUACCUUAGGGAUAACAGCGUAAUAUCUUUUUUAAGAUCAGAUUAAUAAAGAUGAUUGCGACCUCGAUGUUGAAUUAAGAUAAAUUUUAAAUGUAGAAGUUUAAUGAUUAAGUCUGUUCGACUUUUAAAAUCUUACAUGAUUUGAGUUCAAAUCGACGUGAGU
RNAcentral lists this ribosomal RNA (528 nucleotides) under Bombus superbus. RNAcentral describes it as "partial 16S ribosomal RNA". The stretch from base 376 to 528 matches the Rfam family "Bacterial large subunit ribosomal RNA", at positions 2473 to 2626 of the family's 2925-position model. Lineage: Eukaryota; Metazoa; Arthropoda; Insecta; Hymenoptera; Apidae. The record is from RNAcentral.